RNAcentral lists this ribosomal RNA (616 nucleotides) under Rhodotorula paludigena. Its description in RNAcentral is "eukaryotic LSU rRNA". The stretch from base 189 to 342 matches the Rfam family "5.8S ribosomal RNA". The record is from RNAcentral. Lineage: Eukaryota; Fungi; Basidiomycota; Microbotryomycetes; Sporidiobolales; Sporidiobolaceae.
AUGAUCCUUCCGUAGGUGAACCUGCGGAAGGAUCAUUAGUGAAUAUUAGGGCGUCCAACUUAACUUGGAGCCCGAACUCUCACUUUCUAACCCUGUGCAUCUGUUUCUGGUCAGUAGUUCUCUCGGGAGUGAACGCCAUUCACUUAAAACACAAAGUCUAUGAAUGUAUAAAAUUUAUAACAAAACAAAACUUUCAACAACGGAUCUCUUGGCUCUCGCAUCGAUGAAGAACGCAGCGAAAUGCGAUAAGUAAUGUGAAUUGCAGAAUUCAGUGAAUCAUCGAAUCUUUGAACGCACCUUGCGCUCUCUGGUAUUCCGGAGAGCAUGCCUGUUUGAGUGUCAUGAAAUCUUCAACCCUCUCUUUUCUUAAUGAAUCGAGAGGUGCUUGGAUCCUGAGCGCUGCUGGCUUCGGCCUAGCUCGUUCGUAAUGCAUUAGCAUCCGCAAUCGAACUUCGGAUUGACUUGGCGUAAUAGACUAUUCGCUGAGGAUUCUGGUCUCGUACCAGAGCCGGGUUGGGUUAAAGGAAGCUUCUAAUCCUAAAAGUCUAACUUUUGAUUAGAUCUCAAAUCAGGUAGGACUACCCGCUGAACUUAAGCAUAUCAAUAAGCGGAGGAA